Equus caballus (horse) is the source of this 5505-nucleotide long non-coding RNA. The record is from Ensembl. NCBI's taxonomy places the organism in Eukaryota, Metazoa, Chordata, Mammalia, Perissodactyla, Equidae.
GGCUGGGCUGGGCUGGGCUGGGCUGUGCUGGGCUGGGCUGGGCUGUGCUGGGCUGGGCUGGGCUGGGCUGGGCUGGGCUCUGCUGCACUGGGCUGUGUUGCACUGGGCUGUGUUGCACUGGGCUGUGUUGCACUGUGCUCGCUGGGCAGACCGGUGGUCAGGGGCAGCCAUGAGGCCGCCUCUCGGGUCGCCCCAGCAGCUCCACUCGCUCUGCGGCGUGUGGGGCCCCCGUGUGGUGGGCGCCGUCUCCCGCAGGCACUGCAGCUCCAACGGCCGGGCCGGGCGCCUUCCAGGAUUUCCCUUCAAUGUGUUUGGGCCUCCAGGGACCAGGAUCCCCCAGGGGAGGCCACCGUUUGGGCAAUUUGGAGCAGGCCUUGCAGACAGGGGACCCUAACGGUCCAGAGUCAGGGAGCAGGGGAGGAGGCCCGCGCCUGGAACGGGGCGCCCCUGUGGCAGGUCAUUCCAGGCUGGAGGCUUGGCGGGAAAGACUCAGGAGGUGGGGAGGGCAAGCUGGAGGUGACAGACAGGCUCAGGGCCAGGCCAGCUGAGACCUCAAAGCUAUCUCAGGGGACAGCGGCUCGGGCGACCCGAGGGCAAGGGGGAGGAGAAUGGGUGACAAGGGACCGAGGCCCAGAGGCUCAUGUCCUUAUGUCCUGGCCUUUCCCCACCCCCUGCACUGUGCUCUGGAUCCUGCUGACUGCGCCGGAUUAUCUGGAAAUAAAGGCCACAGACCCUGAAACGAAAGGGAAAAGGCAGCCACCUUGCGCGGCUAGCAUGCAGGAAGGAGAGAAGAAAGCGUAGGUCGUCCUACACGCGGGCAGAAGCCAGGCAGCCGCGGCCUCCUCCUGCGGUGGGGCACCCCCUGCCGUGAGAACAAGUUUUUCCUUCAUUUUCCCAGGGAGGCCCCUGUUUACGUCCCCGCCUCCCCCCAGCAGCUGUCUGGAGGGUCCCCCGUGGAGUCCCGUGGAGAGAUGGCGGGAACAGCAGCCCAAGCUCUCGCAUGCUGAUGCCGGAGAAAAGUGAGCCUGAGUGUCGGUCAUUCCGGGUCAGUUUCCCCAGGUGUGGGCUGCGUGCGUCCUUUGCACACGUGAGCCUCAGAUCUCUUCUGGCCAGGUAGGCUGUCUUGGCGUCUUACCUUCGGUAUCUGUUCUGUUCCAAUGCUUUCUUUUGUUUUUCCAGGAACUCCUAUUAGAGGUAUGGCGGUUCCUUUUCUUUCUUUUUUAAACACCUUGAUUGAAAUAUAGUUCACCUGUCAUAAAAUUCACCCAUUUCAAAUGUACAGUUCAAUGGUUUUUAGUGUAUUUACAAGGUUGUGCAACCAAAGCAUCACCGUCAUCUUCUCUUAGAACAUUGUCAUCACCCCUAAAAGGAACCCAUUAGCGCCCCCCGCCCCUGGCAAACACCUGUCUACUCUCUGUGUCUGUGGAUUUCCCUGUUCUGGACACCUCAUGUUGUUAACCGAAAUGAGCAGCUUUCUGAGACAAAGAUGAGUUUUAAAGAAAAGAGAGGCUUUAUUAAAAGUUUGCAAACCGGGAAAGUACACCUCAGCCCACAAGUUGAAAGGUGAGCCCCUCCCCCGGCCUAGGGGUGGCUGGGUUUUAUGUGCAAAAAGGGCAGAGUGUGCAAGGUCCAGGCUGAGUCCUGUUCUGACGAGUCACCCCUCGCAGCUACGGCGUGUCGUGUGCCCGGGGCUUUCCAAACGACAUCCCUGCAGGGAGAGACUGCCGCGUUGUUCUCCGGCUGUCUGGUGACGGUCAAGGUUAAAAUGGAAUUCUUUAUUUCCACCCACAGUUCAGCCUUGAGGCGGUCACAGUAACUGUCACGUCGACUCUGGCCUUGUUCUUAUCUCUUUCUCUUAUCGAUAUAAAUAGAAUCAUACAGUAUGCGGCCUUCUGUGACUGGCUUCUGUCACUUAGCCUCGUGUCUUCAAGGCUCUUUCGUGUUAUGCUUCACUCCUUUAUACAGCUGAAUAAUAUGCCAUUGUGUGACUACACCACAUUUUGUUGAUCAGUUGAGAACAUUUGGGUUGUUUCCACUUCUGGGCUAUUAUGAAUAAUGCUGCUGGGAGCGUUCCUGUAUGGGUUUUGUGUGGACGUGUCUUCACUCCCCUUGGGCAGGUCCCUGGGAGUGGAAAGCCUGGGUCAUACAGGAACUGUGUUCAACCUCUGAGGAACUGCCAAGCUGCCUUCCAGACCGGCUGCCCCCUCCUACAUUCCCACCAGGAGUGUACGAGGGGUCCGCCUUCCCCGCCUCCUCGCCAACACUCGUUACCGCAGCCGUUUUUAUCAGCACCAUCCUGGUGCGUGUGAAGUGCGCCUCCCAUAGCAGCUCUGAUUUGCGCUCUGCUGAGCGUGUUUUCAUGUGCAUGUCGGCGUUCAGACCUCUUGUUUUGGAGAAAUUUCCUCCGGAUCUUCAUUGCCUGUUUUCUGUACUUGCCCUUUUCUCUUGAAUUCUUUUCAUGUCUUUCUCACAAGGUUUUCUUUUGUGUUUAUCCGUUCUCAUAUUCCCUCUGGUUUAAUCUCAAUUCUGAAAUAAUUUUCGUUUCAUUGCUAAUUCUUUUCUAAGUUCCAUCACUUCUCUGAGUCUUUCUAAUGCUGAUGCACACUAUUUUUUCAUAUACUGUAUCGUUUUCUUACUGUCUUUAAGCUCCUUUUGAAGCAUUAGGUUGUGUCUUCGUCUGGGUGACAGCCAGCCUCCAACAGGCCCGUGAGUCCUGGCUCCCAGCAUUCCUGCUCUGUGCGGUCCCACCCACGUUAAAAUCAGCCUGACUGGUGUGUUCAGUAGCAAAGGGGGGACGACACACUGGCGACUGCUGGCGCCAGGUCAUCGAAGGCCCUGGGGCUUCCCACGGCGUCUGGGGGCACUCCCACUGGGGAAAGCGGCCGCCACAUUGUGCAAGGACACUCAAGCAGCGUCACAGAGAAGCCCACCCAGACCAGACCCAGCGCGCCCACCGUGUCAUCAGUCCCCUCGGACAGAGGCCCUUGAGCCCCAGUCAAGCCUUCAGAUGACAGCAAACCUCUGCUCACCCGAGAGCCAAGGCCGAGCUCCUCGAAUGAGCCGCCCCAACGCCAGCCCCCCGCAGCUCGUCACUGGUCGUAGCUGUUCUAACCCUCAGCAUUGGGGGCUGUCACGCAGCAGCAGGUAACCACACAAGCGAGUUUGUGGGCUUCUCUCCCAGCAUGCCGUCGUCUGCAGGGGUGUGGUCCUCCUCAGUGUCCUGUUUGUCUCUGACAGCGUCUCUGUGCAGGAUCUGCCUAUGAUUCACUUCCACUGCUCAUUUUCACACAAAAUCGCGUUUCCUGGGCUUUGGAAGGGAGGCGUGGUCCAGCGGACUCUCUAGUCCCCCGGCCUGGAGCUCCCUCUUGUGCUGCUCUCAGGAAGCGCUCCCCGACCCUGGGGCUCCCCAUUCCCUUCCUGCCCCCUCCUGGCCUGGACCCCUUUCUCCUCCGUCUGUGUCAUCUCUCUGCUGCCCACUUUGGGCCUAUUCCCGGCACUUUCUCCUCUGAGGGCCCACGGGGCCGGGCCUGACCCUGCUGAUGCUCCCACGCACCCCUGAGUGUAUCCACACCCCGCGUCAGCUGCUGCGGCUCAGAUUAGCUCCUGAGCGUUUGAGGAAGUCCUUGCCGUGACUUUGGAGCCCUCUGGCCCACUAGAUGCCCCCUGCUUCCUUCAGGUUCCUCCUACUCAAAGGUCACAGACGUCACAGCUGUCAGUGGUGUCCUCCUGCCCGCCCAGCCUUGGUUUCCCGCGUAGAGCUGGACUGUGGGACCUGGCAUUCUGAGGCCUGUCCCUGACCUUGCUGGGCCCCCCGCAGACAUUGACACAUCCACAACCCACGUGGAGACCAGCAGGCCCGGCACGCCCUGAGCAUUGUUAGCUGAGGUCACGUGUGUUAGAAACGGCAGGAUCUGCUCGUUUCCUUCAGGACGAGACAAGAACUUCUGCUUUUAUGGGCUGCCGUCUGGGAAGCCAGGGCGGAACCCGAGGCCCGGGGCUUCCUGCCCAGCUGUGGCUUUGAUGGCUCACGGGCAGACCCGCCAGUCCCCCGGCCCCCACCUGAAGUCAGCUGACCCGGGGACCUCCCCCCCCCACCUCCCCCAGACGCACAGGGGCGCCAUCCUGGCCACUGCUAAGUUCCAUCACCUCCACAUCACCCCAUGGCCACAGCACCCACUCCAUCACCAGCCAGGGAGGCCCUCCACUCCCAGUGACCCUCAGCUGUCCCCUGUCUCAUGUCAUGAACUUUGAGGGCCUGCCCUACCUCCCACCAAACCGGGCGUCCCUGGAGGACACCUCGCAGGGAGGGCAACGAGCACAGGCUCCAGGUUCGCAGGGCCCUGGGUUCAAACCCUGGCCUAUGUGCCCUCAGAAAGCUGCCACCCUCCCAGCACCUGCGCCCCUCUGUGAAGUAGGAGGAAUGCCCCCCUCGGGGGGCCCUCCAGGACCAGUUCAACGGACCCCAUCUCUUGUCAAAGAAAAUGUGCAAAGUCACAUAGCCAGAGCAUGUGCAGAACAGGAAAUCUUGACCUGAAGUGACCAUGGAACCACAGAUCCUCCUGCCCACGGAACCCGACACGACCGGAACUUGAAAGUCGGACUCUCAUCCGAAGCAGGGGGUCCCUCGUUCAGAAGAUCCGGUGUUAAAACUCCUUCCCCAGCUCAUCAAAAAUGUUUAGAACCCUGUCGUAAAUGUUAAAACCUUACCAUAAAAGUUUAGAACCUUACCAUAAAAGCCUGAAGCCCAGCAAUCAAAGCCGGCCCGCCAGCAUUUCCGCGUCCAGCCUGUCCUCGCCGAUCUCUUCAGCUUCACCCCAAAUCCUGAAGUGGGGAGACAGACCUGAGGACACACACCCCCUGUCCCCCUGCAGAUCCAUCUCGCAGCAUAAAGCUGAUCUCUUUUCCCAAAGGCUGAUGCUGUGAUUAACUGGCUGUUUAUCGGCAUCGGGCAGAGAACCCCAAUUUUGUGCAGUAACCUUGUGACUGACGUGAGCGCAGAGGCCCCUGCAGAACAGAGAGAACUCCAGAAGGCGGCCAUCCGUGCCGAGCUUCCCACGGUGCCAGGAACACGACCGCAGCGGGAAGCAUCCUGGUGGCACUGGAUCAAAUGGGGGACACUGAGGCCCGCCGGGCCACGACAGGACUUGCCCGUGUGGGUUCUGCAGUCCCAGCAGAUGGUGGCAGUGGCCCCUUGUGGCCUCUCACCCUCCACUCUGGCAUCCUCCCAAAGUUCACAGACGCCCUGGAUUCCGUCAUCAGUCCGUCUGGGUGUAGAGUUGACACCUGAGCGGAUGAGUCCUCGCCUCCUUUCCCUUUGGUCCUCGACUUUCUCAGACCCCUGACACCUGAAGGAGGCAUCUGAUCGCCUCCCGCCCACCCGCCCCGUGAGCGCGCCUCCUGGAUGCAUUUCUCCCGGCCGAGUCUUUCCUCCCGGCAGGUUUUCCGCGGGCCCGUGGAGCCGACUUCCCGGGCUCUGAGGACAUUUCUGCUGCUCCCUCGGAUGUG